CCUACGGGUGGCAGCAGUGAGGAAUAUUGGUCAAUGGACGAGAGUCUGAACCAGCCAAGUAGCGUGAAGGAUGACUGCCCUAUGGGUUGUAAACUUCUUUUAUAAGGGAAUAAAACGAGGCACGUGUGCCUUUAUGCAUGUACUUUACGAAUAAGGAUCGGCUAACUCCGUGCCAGCAGCCGCGGUAAUACGGAGGAUCCGAGCGUUAUCCGGAUUUAUUGGGAUUAAAGGGAGCGUAGAUGGGUUCUUAAGUCAGUUGGGAAAGUUUGGGGGUCAACCGUAAAAUUGCAAUUGAUACUGGCAGUCUAGAGUACAGUUGAGGUAGGCGGAAUUCGUGGUGUAGCGGUGAAAUGCGUAGAUAUCACGAAGAACCCCGAUUGCGAAGGCAGCUUACUAGACUGUGACUGACGCUGAUGCUCGAAAGUAUGGGUAGCGAACAGGAUUAGAUACCCCUGUAGUC
Molecule: ribosomal RNA, 460 nt
Filed under: uncultured bacterium
Lineage: Bacteria
Description: partial 16S ribosomal RNA
Rfam family: Bacterial small subunit ribosomal RNA
Source: RNAcentral